RNAcentral lists this ribosomal RNA (774 nucleotides) under uncultured Neocallimastigales. RNAcentral's name for it is "partial large subunit ribosomal RNA". It matches the Rfam family "Eukaryotic large subunit ribosomal RNA", at positions 26 to 634 of the family's 3401-position model. Lineage: Eukaryota; Fungi; Neocallimastigomycota; Neocallimastigomycetes; Neocallimastigales. The record is from RNAcentral.
CGCAUCUGUGCAUGCAGCAUAUCAAUAAGCGGAGGAAAAGAAACUAACAAGGAUUCCCUUAGUAACGGCGAGUGAAGCGGGAAGAGCUCAAAUUUGAAAUCCUCAAGGUUUUACCUUGACGAAUUGUAGUUUAAAGAAGUGUUUUCUGUUGAAGUUUUGGUAAAAGUUCUUUGGAAUAGGACAUCAUAGAGGGUGAGAAUCCCGUAUUUGACCAUUAUUUUCAGCUGUGUGAUACACUUUCAAAGAGUCGGAUUGUUUGGGAAUGCAGUCCAAAAUGGGUGGUAAAUUUCAUCUAAAGCUAAAUAUUGGCGAGAGACCGAUAGCGAACAAGUACCGUGAGGGAAAGAUGAAAAGAACUUUGAAAAGAGAGUUAAACAGUACGUGUAAAUUGUCAAAAGGGAAGCGUUUGACACCAGUGUUGUUUUCUCGAAAAUCAAUUAAAAAGAGUUAGAUUUUGUUGUGUAUUGACCUUAACAGCUUGCAUUUCAAUUUUCUUGCUUUUUUAAUGCACUUUUCGUUUAACAAGUCAACAUCAGUUUCUUUUGUUGUAAAAAGGUCAUUGGAAGGUGGCUUUCUUUUCGGAGAAAGUGUUUAUAGCCUUUGACUCCUGCAAUCGGAGAGACUGAGGUCUGCAGCGUAGAUCCUUCGGGGUUAGAUACAUUUGUGCUAAGUUAUAGCUUUUUAUAGACAACUUGUUGACUAUGAUUAGUCUUGUAGCUUACUCGCUUAUGCUAUUUUACCUACGCUUAGGAUGUUGAUCUGUAGUGCGUGCGC